AAGUUACAAAACUUACAUAUGUGUUUAUAUGUCAUCGAUUACUUCCCUAGAACCGGUCUAUGAGGAAAUUGAUUAUAACCAAGAAACAGUUCCAAAAGAAUCUGUCAAUGAGGCAGGAAUACAGAACGAAAGUCAUAUACACAGGGGAAGAACCCACUUUCAUGAUUCACAGACGUUUGUCAAAGUGACAUGCUUCGAAUCUCCACGCUCGGAGAAUGGAUCUUCAAAACAAUUUCAGCCUGAUAGUUACAUUCAGCUACACAUGAAUAAUAAACUCUAAUGAAAGAGAUCAAACAUGUGCUUGCAGCAAGAACAAAGAAUAUUUCUCUCUUUGUUACCACGAAUAAAACUGUAUGAUAUACAGCGAAUUCCAGGUAUCUUGUUACCUUUACUAAUAAUAGAUUUAAAUGGCGAGUAUUUUAAGGUUACGCUAUUUAACCUUGAAGAAACAUUUACAGAAUCGGGUAUAACAGAUCCAAUAGUUAUUCUUAAUAAUGCUAGAAUUGUCCAUUAUUCGGGUUUGGCGUCUAUAGUUUCAGAAUUAAACUUCACACUCGAGUUAUUACCCCUCUAUUAAUCUUUCCUCAAUCCAAUGGACACAUGUUUUUCUAAAUUAAAAAAACCACAAAACAACUGUUCUUAUAGAGUGAUAAAAGAGUGAAUUACAAAGGUGGGAAAAUGAAAAAAAAACAACAACUAAAUGUAUGUCUCUUCGUCAGAGGAAAUUUCACGAUCAUGACCAUAUUUUUUAUUUGUGAAAUAUAAAAAAAUGUUAUUCUUUCUAUGGGAACUUUCCCCAUGACCAGAGUGGGGCUACAAAACAGCGUGCCGCAGAGGUUAAACCUAUGAUAAAGCAGCCACAAUGAGUGGCCGUCUGUCUGGCCUGCGGAUACGUCUGUUAGACAUAAAUUCAAAGGCAACAUUUCUGAACUGUGAUAAUCACUCUCUCAACCUGGCAGCUUUUCAUUCUGCUGAGAUAGAUCUAACAAUGGUCAUCUUUUUUUUAACUGUACAUGAAUUGUUCAACUUUUUUUUUUCAAAUUAACUUCAGAGAUGGGCCAAACUGAGAGAAGAUGAAGCCGCGAGUUUAAAAAAAAAAGAGUAAUACAAGAGAAGAAGCUAAGUCGUCAGUUUCCUUGAAUCUCGACAAACUCAUCAAGCUGUUGGAGAAACUUUCUAAUUCAAGAACUAAAAGAAUGGACGAUAGAAGCAGUACACAGAAUCUUCUUCAUGCAGUGGAAAAUUACGAAUUGAUGGCUAUCUGGAAUUCUGGUCAAAGCUCCUGUGCCCAAUUAAUAUAGUUCAGAAGAAACUACAAAAGUCUGGGAAGCUGCUGAAGAAAUUAGUACCCUUUCAUGCUUUCUGCAAAAUAAUGAAAAACUGACAAAAAUCCAAUCCAUCAAAAAAAGCAAAAGAAGGUAGUGAAUACUAUGGAUUCCCUGUAAUCAAAACAACCAGAAGAAAGAAAUGACUUGAUGGGGAGUUGAAUUCUAAUGUAGGACUGUCAAUAGAACUGCAAUUCAAACGUGUUGCGACAGAAGUGCUGGACAGAUUUCAUAUGGAGAUGAAGGGCAGAUUUCAAAGGCUGGAAAGAAAAUGGACACGUUCAGGUUUCUUCUUGAACCAAGACACCUGUUGAAUGAUGACAAACUGUGUUACUUUUUCUGUUUGAAUGAUGAAAUAAAGGUAAAUCACUCGUUCAAUGAUGUCAUUUGUACAAGAGCACUUUUCGUCAACAAACCAGUAAUAAAAUCACAAAUAGACAUAUUGAGGAAGCAGGCUUCAUAUGGUAAUGACAUUGCAACCUCCUCCGAAUACUGCUACCUCAUGCCACUUCCAAUGCGUCAUGUGAGAGAUUAUUCUCAAAGAUCAAGUUCAUCAAAAACUAUCUCAGGAGCACAAUGACGCAAGAAAGGCUUAUCACGGCUUUAGUGUCAGUGAAAUCACAAAUACUAGAAAAAAUCGAUGUAGAUGAUGUUAUAGAUGUCUUUGCUGCACAGGAUGCACGACGUGAAGCGAUAUCAAUGGAGAUUUGUCACUUGUGCAUUAUUUAGCCGAUAAACAGCGGUAUUAUUCAUUAAAAGAGUCUUAAUGAUUAUUUUUGGUUACUUUUACUGAUGUACUGUACCAAUUAGAUUUUGGGCUUAUAUAUUUUUGCGUACAUUAUCUGAUGUCAUGAUUUCCAAUAUCAAAAUGCAAGGGGCCCCCAAAGAGGUUAAUCCCACCGGGCCCCCAAAUCCUUAACUACGCCCCUGACAUGAUAAAAGCAGUUCCUGACAUCAAAGCAAGUCUAAGCAGACAAUGCACGAACACUAGCUUAACUGCUAAAGCAAUGAGGUAACGUUGUGAAGUGAAUAUAAAGUUUGGUGUAACGUUCAGGACAUUUUGAGGGAGAUUUUAUUUCAUUUAUUUUUGUAUCUGCCUUGACAAAAGUGCAGUUUAUUUGGUAUCAUCCUCAAAAGUUCUCACGAGGGCCCAAAAUGGCCAUGAGUUAUGGGCUCAAUCUCCAUUGUUUUUUCGCCACAGGCUGUGGGCUUUAAAUGUCGUGGGCCCGGGCUCAUUGAGCUUCCUCGAGCCAUGGAUGCUACGCCACUGACAGAAACUACGGUUAACGAGUUAACAGCUAGUGCACGCGCGGUAGAGUCGUAUCUCUUCAUCAAAUGUUAAUUCUGAAUAAUUGAAGAAUUACAAUUUAUUCAAGGCAUAUUUAGGACAUCAAAGUUAUUCUUUAAGUUCAAAACUAUUAGAUUACUACGUCAGAUAAACAUGCAUAACUAUAUAUUACUUUUUCUAAUUUUGUGAUUACAGUAAUAUCCCUUUGAGCAUAUUUUUGUUUUCUAUUUUAAAUCUACGAUAAUUGUAGAGCAUGCUUUGUUACGGCUUAAUAAAACAAAACUGUUUCUAAUUGUUAUUGUAGUCAUUCAGCUAAAGUUAUGUACUUAAUAACAUUUUAAUAUAUUAUUCAUCUUUAUUUUGACAGAGCAGCAAGUCUCGGUUUAACUAAAUCCUUACUACAGACACUUAUUUAACCACAGACUUCUUCUCAACUACCAAGGGACAAAGGGGUUCAGAAUAUAAUGCAAUUGUUAGCCGCCAUGGCAGAAGGCGGGAUCAGAACCGUGGUCUAUCAUAACGACAGCUCGGAUCGCAUACCACAUGAAAAAGCAGCCAACCAGGAUUAAUACUUUUUGGCAGAAGUCAAGUGAUACCUCUAAUCCAUGAAUCUCAAAGCUUCCAGCUACCAGUAUUACGUUGUUUUUCAUGGCAGCAGACCAAUUAACUUGCUUGAUAAUGUACUUUCCAUUUCUACGUGUAACAUGAAACUAAUGAUUCUCUUUCUUGCACCUAAUUUUAAUAAACAUCACGGAACACAAAAGCGUAUGUAU
Molecule: long non-coding RNA, 3386 nt
Organism: Biomphalaria glabrata
Lineage: Eukaryota; Metazoa; Mollusca; Gastropoda; Planorbidae
Exons: 3
Source: RefSeq, a predicted model, not a curated record